AUGCCACCACCAGAUGUCUCUGCAGCAGCAUAAACAAAUUGGCGGGCCGCACGAACUGAAUCAGUUUGACAAAGUGGCUGAAUUAAACUUACAUGCAAGUGCAUGCCAGCUGAUAUAGGUAGAUAGUACCACUACGACGACUUGAGAAAGCCAGGGCCCAUAGACAAUAAGGCGUGAAGGAUUCCCUAGAGUUACCCUUUCCUUGCUGGAGGACCUCUACCAUCGAAAGAAAAGUAAUGGGUGAUGUUAGUACAAUAAGUGUUUGAGGAACAGAUAUUCAUGGAUGCGACUUUAAUUGUUUGUGGAGGUUGAGGCAUGGCUGAAUUGUGUCAUGGCAUCUGGUUGAAAAGGUGGAACUGUACUACAGUCAGUUUUUGGCAGCUGUUACCGCUUCAGUGAAAAUUAUGAGGAAGAAAUCAAUGACUCCACAGAGGAAGGGAGAUGGAAGUGUGUG
Molecule: long non-coding RNA, 454 nt
Organism: Macrobrachium nipponense
Lineage: Eukaryota; Metazoa; Arthropoda; Malacostraca; Decapoda; Palaemonidae
Exons: 3
Source: RefSeq, a predicted model, not a curated record